Molecule: ribosomal RNA, 216 nt
Filed under: Glomeromycotina sp.
Lineage: Eukaryota; Fungi; Glomeromycota
Description: partial small subunit ribosomal RNA
Rfam family: Eukaryotic small subunit ribosomal RNA (bases 44-216)
Source: RNAcentral
GGGUCAGCAGGUUGGUCGUGCCACCGGUACGUACUGGUCUCACUGAUUCCUCCUUCCUGAAGAACCGUAAUGCCAUUAAUUUGGUGUUGCGGGGAAACAGGACUGUUACUUUGAAAAAACUAGAGUGUUUAAAGCAAGCUAACGCUUGAAUACAUUAGCAUGGAAUAAUGAAAUAGGACGAUCGAUCCUAUUUUGUUGGUUCCUAGGAUUGACGUA